RNAcentral lists this ribosomal RNA (795 nucleotides) under uncultured fungus. RNAcentral's name for it is "SSU rRNA". It matches the Rfam family "Eukaryotic small subunit ribosomal RNA", at positions 314 to 1114 of the family's 1831-position model. Lineage: Eukaryota; Fungi. The record is from RNAcentral.
AUCAACUUUCGAUGGUAGGAUAGAGGCCUGCCAUGGUAGUAACGGGUAACGGGGAAUUAGGGUUCGAUUCCGGAGAGGGAGCCUGAGAAACGGCUACCACAUCCAAGGAAGGCAGCAGGCGCGCAAAUUACCCAAUCCCGACACGGGGAGGUAGUGACAAUAAAUAACAAUACAGGGCCUUUCAGGUCUUGUAAUUGGAAUGAGUACAAUUUAAAUCUCUUAACGAGGAACAAUUGGAGGGCAAGUCUGGUGCCAGCAGCCGCGGUAAUUCCAGCUCCAAUAGCGUAUAUUAAAGUUGUUGCAGUUAAAAAGCUCGUAGUUGAAUUUUAGGCCUGGCCGGGCGGUCCGUCUUUGGCGAGUACUGUCCUGUGUCGGGUCCACCUUCUGGUGAACCAGUAUGUCCUUUAUUGGGUGUGCCGGGGAGCCAGGACCAUUACCUUGAAAAAAUUAGAGUGUUUAAAGCAGGCAUUUGCUUGAAUAGAUUAGCAUGGAAUAAUAGAAUAGGACGUUGUGGUUCUAUUUUGUUGGUUUCUAGGACCACCGUAAUGAUUAAUAGGGAUAGUUGGGGGCAUUAGUAUUCAAUUGUCAGAGGUGAAAUUCUUGGAUUUAUUGAAGACUAACUAUUGCGAAAGCAUUUGCCAAGGAUGUUUUCAUUAAUCAAGAACGAAAGUUAGGGGAUCGAAGACGAUCAGAUACCGUCGUAGUCUUAACCAUAAACUAUGCCGACUAGGAAUCGGGCGACGUUAUUUUCAUGACUCGCUCGGCGCCUUAUGGGAAACCAAAGUGUUUGGGUUC